GAUGAACGCUGGCGGUAUGCUUAACACAUGCCAGUCGAACGGACUCUUCGGAGUUAGUGGCGGACGGGUGAGUAACGCGUGAGAAUCUGGCUUUGGGUUCGGGACAACCACUGGAAACGGUGGCUAAUACCGGAUGUGCCGAGAGGUAAAAGAGAAAUUGCCUGAAGAUGAGCUCGCGUCUGAUUAGCUAGUUGGUGAGGUAAAGGCUCACCAAGGCAGCGAUCAGUAGCUGGUCUGAGAGGGUGACCAGCCACACUGGGACUGAGACACGGCCCAGACUCCUACGGGAGGCAGCAGUGGGGAAUUUUCCGCAAUGGGCGAAAGCCUGACGGAGCAAUACCGCGUGAGGGAAGAAGGCUCUUGGGUUGUAAACCUCUUUUCUUAGGGAAGAACAAAAUGACGGUACCUAAGGAAUCAGCAUCGGCUAACUCCGUG
Molecule: ribosomal RNA, 435 nt
Filed under: uncultured bacterium
Lineage: Bacteria
Description: partial 16S ribosomal RNA
Rfam family: Bacterial small subunit ribosomal RNA
Source: RNAcentral